CCUACGGGGGGCUGCAGUGGGGAAUAUUGGGCAAUGGGCGCAAGCCUGACCCAGCAACGCCGCGUGAAGGAAGAAGGCCCUCGGGUUGUAAACUUCUUUUAUCAGGGACGAAGCCAGUGACGGUACCCGAUGAAUAAGCCACGGCUAACUACGUGCCAGCAGCCGCGGUAAUACGUAGGUGGCAAGCGUUAUCCGGAUUUACUGGGGGUAAAGGGCGUGUAGGCGGGAAAGUAAGUCGGCUGUGAAAUCCAUGGGCUCAACCUGUGGCCUGCAUUUGAAACUGUUUUUCUUGAGUACUGGAGAGGCAGGCGGAAUUCCUAGUGUAGCGGUGAAAUGCGUAGAUAUUAGGAGGAACAUCAGGGGCGAAGGCGGUCUGCUGGACAGCAACUGACGCUGAGGCGCGAAAGCGUGGGGAGCAAACAGGAUUAGAUACCCCGGUAGUC
Molecule: ribosomal RNA, 443 nt
Filed under: uncultured bacterium
Lineage: Bacteria
Description: partial 16S ribosomal RNA
Rfam family: Bacterial small subunit ribosomal RNA
Source: RNAcentral